AAGGAGUCACAAUGGACAGAUCAAUAGCAGGUGGAUUUAAAAUACCAGCUGCUUCACUUCAAUCUCUUAUCGGUCUCGGUAUUAUGAUUUCCCUCUUGAUAUAUGAUUGCAUACUCAUUCCAACUGCAAGAAAGUUCACGGGGAAUCCUUCUGGAAUUACAAUGCUACAAAGAAUUGGAUUUGGGAUGCUAUUAUCCAUCAUUUCCAUGGUUGUUGCUGCAUUAGUUGAGGGAAAAAGGCUCAAAACAGCUCAAGAAUAUGGUUUGGUUGAUAUGCCAAAGGCGACUAUUCCAUUAAGUAUAUGGUGGUUGGUUCCUCAAUACAUAUUAUUUGGAGUUGCUGAUACAUUCACCAUGGUUGGGUUGCAGGAGUUUUUCUAUGACCAAGUUCCGAGUGGAUUACGAAGCAUUGGUCUCUCCUUGUACUUGAGUAUUUUUGGAAUUGGCUACUUUUUAAGCAGCUUUCUCAUCUCUGCCAUUGAAAAGCUAACAAGUGGGUAUGGAAAACAAAGCUGGUUUGACAAUAAUCUCAACAAAGCUCAUCUCGAAUACUUCUACUGGUUGCUUGUUGUGCUUAGUGUUGUUGGGUUGGCUGCUUUCCUAUUUUCUGCCAGAACUUACAUCUAUAACAAGGGGAACACCACACUGGUUUAAUUUUGUUGGGUAUAUUUGGUUUGAAGGUUUGAGAGAGUUGGAAAAUGAAACCACUAAACUCCACUCUUGUUUAUCUUAACGUGAAAAAUAUCAAUUUUAUAUUUAAUACUUAAUGUUACAGAUCUAAAACCAUUUUUCUUUUUAUAUACUCAACAAACGUUCGUUUUUUUCUUCUUUCAGCAGUAUUCUCUUUGAUUCCAUUAAUUAUUCUUCUCCAGUGCACGCUUGAAUUGGAUAGUUGUGUUAAACCUUGGAAAACAGUAACCAGUAUAUGCUAUUUAGCAUCAAAGUCGAGCCAAAUUUUACGUGAUUCGACACGACACAACAAUAAUAAACAUUUAUUUAACAUCUUAAUAUAUGUCCGACUAAAAUCAACAACUCACUUUCUGUGGAAAGACAUAAAAUUGGUGGAAGAAAAGAAUUAGUCGAUUAUAAAAAGAUGAAUAAUUUUUAGCUGUUCAUUUUUCUAGAUAAAUUUUACUACCAACAAUAAAAUUAUCAAAUCUAAACAAUUAUAUUAAUAAAUAAUGAAAAUUUAAAAAAUAUAUAAAAAUAUAAAAUAUUUUUCUUUAAAUAAAAGAUGAAUGUAUCCAAGAACAAAAACAGUACAUGAUAUUUAUUUAUUUUUGGUUUGGUAGGUGCACAUCAUCGUCUCUCAACCACACAAAUUAACGGCCAUCAUCUCUCUACCGUACACGCUGAAUUGGUUUUUCUUUUCUUCGUCUUCUGUGCAUUUCCUUUCAGGUAGGCUCAAGGGUGUCGGUGCAACUUAAGCUCACGGCAGUGACGAAACCACCCAGUAAAGCAGCAGUGAGGCUUCCUUUUCUUGGCUGAUUAUCGACCUUCGGCUGUCAUCCUCGCCGCUUUUGGCCUCAAAUCAGUUUGUCCAUAUCUUGCAGAUGUUUCGAUAAUGCAAUAUAUAUGUGAGGCUUUUAUCUCUGUUGGAUAUUCAAAGCCUGGACUAAGUGGUGGUGUGUUCAAAGUUCAUGUAAUAAGAUUCUGAUUUGGAAGCCUUUCUAAUUAAUAAGUGUUCAACAAAAUGGAGGCUCCUCUAUUGGAUGAGACGGUGGAGGGGGCAGUUGAUUACAAUGGCCACCCGGUCUGCAGAUUCAAUUCUGGCGGCUGGAGAUCCGCCUCCCUCAUCAUAGGUAAAUCAUCAUUAGUUUCUUCUCUUUCUUCUCUUUCCCUAUCCAAUUUUUGUAUCCUCUCGAAUCGUAAUCAGGGGUGGAGGUUGCGGAGAGAUUCGCCUUCUAUGGAGCUUCCUCCAAUUUGAUUAACUUCUUAACGGACCAGCUCCAGCAGUCGACUGCCAUGGCAGCCAAGAAUGUCAACAUCUGGUCUGGUACCGCAGCCUUGCUACCUCUACUCGGCGCCUUUCUAGCUGAUUGCUUCCUUGGACGAUACCGUACCAUUGUUCUUUCCUCUGCUCUUUAUGUUCUGGUUCCUAAACCACUCUAUGCUCUAACUCUUUUAUUGCUUUUCUUUUCCAAAUCCAAACUAUAUAAAAUCUCAUAAGACUAUGCAAGUUAUUGGCUCGGGAUCUGUUAAUUCAGGAUUCUUUUGAUUCCUGUUCUUUCAUGUGAUACUCAAUAGUGGAAACAACCGGAAAUUUCAAAACAGUUCUCUUCAUAAAUUGAAACUUCCAUAAUAUUCAGUGUGUCACUUUUUGCUUUUGUUGUUUCUGGAAUUUAGGGCCUUGGGUUGUUGACCUUGUCUGCAGCAUUACCUUCUCUCGGCAUUUCUGCCUGCCAUGAGACUGAAAAAUUCCUGCCAUGCUCCCCGAAUCCCGUCCAAGUAAUUUUGUUUUUCUUCUCCUUAUAUCUGUUGGCAUUUGGUAAAGGGGGACACGAGCCUUGCAUCCAAGCUUUCGGAGCCGAUCAAUUUGAUGGACAGCAUCCAGAAGAGAGAAAAGCUAAAAGCUCUUUCUUCAAUUGGUGGUACUUGGGUAUCUCUUUGGCUUGCUUGUUAACUGUUAAUAUCAUGAGCUAUGUGCAAGAUAACCUCAGUUGGAGUCUUGGGUUUGGAAUUCCUUGUACUGCAAUGGUUUUUGGACUUGUAGUGUUCUUGCUUGGAACUAGGACGUACAGGUUCAGUAACAGAAGAGAUGAGGAAAACCCAUUUGUAAGAAUUGGACGGGUGUUUAUCACUGCAAUAAGAAAUUGGCAUGUAAACUCCUUAGAGAUAGCUCAUGAAGAGGAAAGUCAUGGCCUUUUGCCGCACCAUAACUCCAAACAGUUGAGGUAAAUUAAAUGUCCAAAAGAAGGGUAAAGUGUAUGCUUUGUCACCUCUAGAGUAUUUCUCUUCUCGCCAGAAAUGUUGUCCUUAAGUGGAUGUAUUAUGUAACUGCCUUAGAAACCAUGCAACCAUUUUCUUUAAUGGAUUCUCUAAUUUUGUAGGUUUCUCGACAAAGCUUUGAUUGUACCUAAUAGUUUAAAGGAAGAAUGUCGAGCAUGUAGCAUCAAUGAAGUUGAGGAAGCAAAAGCAGUGCUGAAGCUCGUUCCAAUUUGGGCAACAUGCUUAACAUAUGCUAUUGUAUUCUCCCAGUCGUCAACUUUCUUUAUAAAACAAGGAGUGACACUGGACAGAUCAAUAGUUGAUGGAUUUGAAGUACCAGCUGCUUCACUUCAAUCUUUUAUCAGUCUAGGUGUUGUCAUUUCCCUCGUAAUAUAUGAUCGCGUACUCAUUCCAACUGCAAGAAAGUUCACUCGAAAACCUUCUGGAAUUACAAUGCUACAAAGAAUUGGAUUUGGGAUGCUAUUAUCCAUCAUUUCCAUGGUUGUUGCUGCAUUAGUUGAGGGAAAAAGGCUCAAAACAGCUAAAGAA
RNAcentral lists this long non-coding RNA (3476 nucleotides) under Cucumis sativus (cucumber). RNAcentral's name for it is "long non-coding RNA (CSAT_LNC001794)". Lineage: Eukaryota; Viridiplantae; Streptophyta; Magnoliopsida; Cucurbitales; Cucurbitaceae. The record is from RNAcentral.